GGCCCCGCAUGGGGAUAUUUGCUAAAGAUUCAUCGCUGAUAGAUAGGCUUGCGUUCCAGUUACGCAGUUGGCGGGGUAACGGCCCACCAAACCGACGAUGGAUAGGGGUUCUGAGAGGAAGGUCCCCCACAUUGGUACUGAGACACGGACCAAACUCCUACGGGAGGCAGCAGUGAGGAAUAUUGGUCAAUGGGCGUAAGCCUGAACCAGCCAAGUCGCGUGAAGGAUGAAGGUUCUAUGGAUCGUAAACCUCUUUUAUAAGGGAAUAAAGUGCGGGACGUGUCCCGUUUUGUAUGUACCUUAUGAAUAAGGAUCGGCUAACUCCGUGCCAGCAGCCGCGGUAAUACGGAGGAUCCGAGCGUUAUCCGGAUUUAUUGGGUUUAAAGGGUGCGUAGGCGGCCUUUUAAGUCAGCGGUGAAAGUCUGUGGCUCAACCAUAGAAUUGCCGUUGAAACUGGGGGGCUUGAGUAUGUUUGAGGCAGGCGGAAUGCGUGGUGUAGCGGUGAAAUGCAUAGAUAUCACGCAGAACCCCGAUUGCGAAGGCAGCCUGCCAAGCCAUUACUGACGCUGAUGCACGAAAGCGUGGGGAUCAAACAGGAUUAGAUACCCUGGUAGUCCACGCAGUAAACGAUGAUCACUAGCUGUUUGCGAUACACUGUAAGCGGCACAGCGAAAGCGUUAAGUGAUCCACCUGGGGAGUAC
Molecule: ribosomal RNA, 701 nt
Filed under: uncultured bacterium
Lineage: Bacteria
Description: bacterial SSU rRNA
Rfam family: Bacterial small subunit ribosomal RNA
Source: RNAcentral